RNAcentral lists this ribosomal RNA (430 nucleotides) under uncultured bacterium. Its description in RNAcentral is "partial 16S ribosomal RNA". It matches the Rfam family "Bacterial small subunit ribosomal RNA", at positions 29 to 507 of the family's 1533-position model. The record is from RNAcentral.
ACGAACGCUGGCGGCAGGCCUAACACCUGCAAGUCGAGCGCCCUUUCGGGGGAGCGGCGGACGGGUGAGUAACGCGUGGGAAUAUGCCCUUCUCUACGGAAUAGCCUCGGGAAACUGAGAGUAAUACCGUAUACGCCCUGUGGGGGAAAGAUUUAUCGGGGAAGGAUUAGCCCGCGUUGGAUUAGGUAGUUGGUGGGGUAAUGGCCUACCAAGCCGACGAUCCAUAGCUGGUUUGAGAGGAUGAUCAGCCACACUGGGACUGAGACACGGCCCAGACUCCUACGGGAGGCAGCAGUGGGGAAUCUUAGACAAUGGGGGCAACCCUGAUCUAGCCAUGCCGCGUGAGUGAUGAAGGCCUUAGGGUUGUAAAGCUCUUUCAGCUGGGAAGAUAAUGACGGUACCAGCAGAAGAAGCCCCGGCUAACUCCGUG